ACUAACAAGGAUUCCCCUAGUAACUGCGAGUGAAGCGGGAAGAGCUCAAAUUUGAAAUCUGGCGGUCCCAGCCGUCCGAGUUGUAACCUGAAGGAGCGUUUUUUUUCCGCGCCGGACCGUGUACAAGUCUCCUGGAACGGAGCGUCGUAGAGGGUGAGAAUCCCGUCCAUGACACGGACGCCCGGUGCUUUGUGAUACGCUCCCGAAGAGUCGCGUUGUUUGGGAAUGCAGCGCAAAAUGGGUGGUAAAUUCCAUCUAAAGCUAAAUAUUGGCGAGAGACCGAUAGCGAACAAGUACCGUGAGGGAAAGAUGAAAAGCACUUUGGAAAGAGAGUUAAACAGUACGUGAAAUUGUUGAAAGGGAAACGCUUGAAGUCAGUCGCGUCCGGUGGAACUCAGCCCUGCUUCGGCCUGGUGUACUUUCCUCUGGACGGGUCAACAUCAAUUUCAGCCGGUGGACAAGGGCGGGGGGAACGUAGCGCCGCUUCGGCGACGUGUUAUAGCCCCUCGCCGCAUGCACCGGCUGGGAUUGAGGACCGCAGCACGCCCUUGUGGCCGGGGUUCGCCCACGUAACGUGCUUAGGAUGUUGGCAUAAUGGCUUUAAGCGACCCGUCU
This 615-nucleotide ribosomal RNA is filed under the name Fomitiporella sp. MC-2015a. RNAcentral's name for it is "partial large subunit ribosomal RNA". It matches the Rfam family "Eukaryotic large subunit ribosomal RNA", at positions 64 to 654 of the family's 3401-position model. Lineage: Eukaryota; Fungi; Basidiomycota; Agaricomycetes; Hymenochaetales; Hymenochaetaceae. The record is from RNAcentral.